GGUCAAGUUAUUAAGGGUGCAGGGCGGAUGCCUUGGCACCGGGAGCCGAUGAAGGACGUGAUAAGCUGCGAUAAGCUAUGGGGAGUUGCACGUAAACUUUGAUCCAUAGAUUUCCGAAUGAGGAAACUCACCAUGAGUAAUGUCAUGGUAUCUUCGAGUAAAUACAUAGCUCGUUGAGGGGAACUCGGGGAACUGAAACAUCUAAGUACCCGAAGGAAGAGAAAGAAAUUCGAUUCCGCUAGUAGCGGCGAGCGAACGCGGAACAGCCCAAACCUAAGAAGUUCGCUUCUUAGGGGUUGCGGACAUAUCAUCAGGAAGAGGUUAUUACAGACGAAGAGUUUUGGAAAGCUCCGCCAUAGAAGGUAACAGCCCUGUAGUCGAAGUGAGAAGACUUCCGAUAUGAUCCAGAGUACCACGGGACACGUGAAACCCUGUGGGAAGCAGGAGGGACCACCCUCCAAGGCUAAAUACUACCCGG
This 478-nucleotide ribosomal RNA is filed under the name gut metagenome. Its description in RNAcentral is "bacterial LSU rRNA". It matches the Rfam family "Bacterial large subunit ribosomal RNA", at positions 1 to 480 of the family's 2925-position model. The record is from RNAcentral.